CCUACGGGACGCAGCAGUAGGGAAUCUUCCACAAUGGACGAAAGUCUGAUGGAGCAACGCCGCGUGAGUGAAGAAGGGUUUCGGCUCGUAAAGCUCUGUUGGUAGUGAAGAAAGAUAGAGGUAGUAACUGGCCUUUAUUUGACGGUAAUUACUUAGGAAGUCACGGCUAACUACGUGCCAGCAGCCGCGGUAAUACGUAGGUGGCAAGCGUUGUCCGGAUUUAUUGGGCGUAAAGCGAGUGCAGGCGGUUCAAUAAGACUUAUGUGAAAGCCCUUUGCUCAACCCGGGGA
RNAcentral lists this ribosomal RNA (290 nucleotides) under uncultured bacterium. Its description in RNAcentral is "partial 16S ribosomal RNA". It matches the Rfam family "Bacterial small subunit ribosomal RNA", at positions 338 to 620 of the family's 1533-position model. The record is from RNAcentral.